CUUUAUCCGUACUCGCGAAUGCAUCNUAGAUUAGUAGUUUGAUCAUGGCUCAGAUUGAACGCUGGCGGCAGGCCUAACACAUGCAAGUCGAGCGGCAGCACAAGUGAGUUUACUUAUGAGGUGGCGAGCGGCGGACGGGUGAGUAAUGCCUAGGGAUCUGCCCAGUCGAGGGGGAUAACAGUUGGAAACGACUGCUAAUACCGCAUACGCCCUACGGGGGAAAGGAGGGGACCUUCGGGCCUUCCGCGAUUGGAUGAACCUAGGUGGGAUUAGCUAGUUGGUGAGGUAAUGGCUCACCAAGGCGACGAUCCCUAGCUGUUCUGAGAGGAUGAUCAGCCACACUGGGACUGAGACACGGCCCAGACUCCUACGGGAGGCAGCAGUGGGGAAUAUUGCACAAUGGGGGAAACCCUGAUGCAGCCAUGCCGCGUGUGUGAAGAAGGCCUUCGGGUUGUAAAGCACUUUCAGUAGGGAGGAACAGGGUGAGUCUUAAUACGGCUCAUCUGUGACGUUACCUACAGAAGAGGGACCGGCUAACUCCGUGCCAGCAGCCGCGGUAAUACGGAGGGUCCGAGCGUUAAUCGGAAUUACCUGGG
Molecule: ribosomal RNA, 596 nt
Filed under: uncultured bacterium
Lineage: Bacteria
Description: bacterial SSU rRNA
Rfam family: Bacterial small subunit ribosomal RNA
Source: RNAcentral